AUGUUAAAAAUGCCUUUCUUAAUGGUGAGUUGCGUGAGGAGGUUUUGUAUGCAACCACUACCUGGGUAUUCAGUUCCCGACGGCAUGGUUUGCCGUCUUCGUCGCUCUCUCUAUGGCCUUAAGCAAGGCCCUCGCUCCUCGUUUGAGCGUUUUGCCUCUGUGAUCCCUACUGCUGGCUUUUCGCCAAGUGAUCACGAUCCAGCGUUGUUUGUCCACCUUUAUGCUCGUGGCCACACUCUUCUUCUAUAUGUUGAUGACAUGAUCAUCACUGGCGACGAUUCUGAGUACAUUGCCUUUGUCAAGGCUGAGCAGUUUCUUAUGUCUGAUCUUGGUCCUCUUUGUUACUUUCUUGGGAUUGAGGUUUCCUCCACCUCUGAUGGAUUUUUUAUUUCCCAAGAAAAGUAUAUCCAGGAUCUUCUUACUCGUGCGGCUCUUAGUGAUGAGCGCACUGUUGAGACUCCUAUGGAGCUCAAUGUUCACCUUCGUGCUUCUGAUGGUGAGCCCUUGUCUGAUCUGACACAUUAUCGUCAUCUUGUUGGGAGUCUUGUGUAUCUUGCUGUCACUCGUCCGGAUAUCUCCUAUCCCGUCCAAUAUUCCGAGUUAGUUUGUUUCUGCUCCCACUUCAGUUCACUAUAG
This 636-nucleotide ribosomal RNA is filed under the name Triticum aestivum (bread wheat). RNAcentral describes it as "partial small subunit ribosomal RNA". Lineage: Eukaryota; Viridiplantae; Streptophyta; Magnoliopsida; Poales; Poaceae. The record is from RNAcentral.